CGUUGGUCCUCUCGCAUCAGAAUCUUGUUUACUAGGUCAGGCCCGGAAGGGAGCAGCCAAAGCAGGAACCUUUGAGUGCCGGGAUGUGGCUGGCGGGG
Molecule: signal recognition particle RNA, 98 nt
Filed under: Oceanisphaera avium
Lineage: Bacteria; Pseudomonadati; Pseudomonadota; Gammaproteobacteria; Aeromonadales; Aeromonadaceae
Description: Bacterial small signal recognition particle RNA
Rfam family: Bacterial small signal recognition particle RNA
About the family: The signal recognition particle (SRP) is a universally conserved ribonucleoprotein involved in the co-translational targeting of proteins to membranes.
Source: Rfam by way of RNAcentral